Molecule: long non-coding RNA, 515 nt
Organism: Oreochromis aureus
Lineage: Eukaryota; Metazoa; Chordata; Actinopteri; Cichliformes; Cichlidae
Exons: 4
Source: RefSeq, a predicted model, not a curated record
ACCUGACUUCCUGUUGGUGUUGCUGAGCUUAGUUGCGGGUUACUUUUCCGAAGCCUCCAUCGCAGCUGGUAGGUGUUUACUCAUUGUAGUGUAUAUAUUACUUUGCUUGAUGGUAAACAGCUAUUGUUUGUAGGUCGUAGCUGUAGAAGCCUCCUCUGAGCCAUUCUGCUUACGUUUUAUGACACGGCUUACUUGAUGCGGAGUGCCGACGUGGAGGAGACCAGGGUGCCUUGGUGGUGGGAUCCUCUGAGUGUACACACCUGCCUUGUUUAAUUUAUAGUGAUAAAAGCAAAGCAGCAGCUACUUUGGUGUGGGAUUCCACAGCUGUGUUACAGAGAUGGAGGAAGAGUUACAGGAACUCAGGGACUUGAUCGCGCAGCUGAAAGCAGACAAUGAGAGGCUGCGCCAGGAGAGGGCUGUUGAGUCAGAUGCGGAGUGCCGACGUGGAGGAGACCAGGGUGCCUUGGUGGUGGGAUCCUCUGAGUGUACACACCUGCCUUGUUUAAUUUAUAGUG